This 279-nucleotide ribosomal RNA is filed under the name uncultured bacterium. Its description in RNAcentral is "partial 16S ribosomal RNA". It matches the Rfam family "Bacterial small subunit ribosomal RNA", at positions 506 to 784 of the family's 1533-position model. The record is from RNAcentral.
UGCCAGCAGCCGCGGUAAUACGGAGGGUGCGAACGUUAAUCGGAAUUACUGGGCGUAAAGCGCGCGUAGGCGGUUCGACAAGUGGGGUGUGAAAGCCCAGGGCUUAACCCUGGAACUGCAUUCCAAACUGUCGGGCUAGAGUAUGGUAGAGGGAGGUAGAAUUUCCUGUGUAGCGGUGAAAUGCGUAGAUAUAGGAAGGAAUACCGGUGGCGAAGGCGGCCUCCUGGACCAAUACUGACGCUGAGGUGCGAAAGCGUGGGGAGCAAACAGGAUUAGAUA